This is an RNA transcript of Phyllopteryx taeniolatus (common seadragon), 5385 nucleotides long. It is a transcript of the gene named archaemetzincin-2-like, with no coding region annotated. The record is from RefSeq and is a predicted model, not a curated record. Lineage: Eukaryota; Metazoa; Chordata; Actinopteri; Syngnathiformes; Syngnathidae. The transcript has 18 exons.
UAAGCAGUCCUUGACGUCACCAAGCCCCGCCCCUCUGUUGUCACAACGUCAUCGGACAAAGGCGGAAGUAUCGACGUAGCGUCAAAGUAGCUUUCCGUUUACGACAUGAAGGUGAUACACCACUCCGCGGAGACCCUGAAAACAGCAUUGGUUUCCAAUUCUAAGGACUUGGCUGAACUUUACAGUCAGUACACCAAAGAAGAACGUCGCCUUUUAGAGGAAGGACUGCAUCCAGGGCAGCCUAGUUCUCUUUUCCAGCCUGUUACUGUGCAUUCAGAUUCAGACUGGAUUCCCUCUCAUCCUGAGGAUCCUCAAGACUUUGAGAGCUUUUAUAGAAACCCUCACAGAAACGUCCUAAGUGCAAGCUGUGGCACUAUUUACAUUCAGACCAUAGGUGCUUUUGGCGAGGCCGGGCCCCAGACUGAGCAGUAUGUGGAAUGGCUUCGAGAAUACUGCCAAGCCUUCUUCUAUGGACUGCCUGUUCGUUGGUUACCAGCUGUCACAGUUGAACAAACAGGGUGCUCUUUCAGGAUUAACCAUGGCUCACAAAUCCUUCAGCUGCUUACUGGUGACUUGCUAGAAUUUUUGUGGAACCGGAAACCAAAAGAGGCUUUUUGUAUUGUUGGAAUCACAAUGAUUGACCUGUACCCAAAAGACUCCUGGAAUUUUGUAUUUGGACAAGCAUCUCUCAAUAGGGGAAUUGGUGUUUUCAGCUUUGCCAGGUACGAUGACAGCUUCUACAGCAAGAGUUAUGCAGGAAGGUUGAAGAAACAGCAUCAGCCAAAGCAGGGGGACUAUUCUGUCUUUGAUGGCCAGUACACUCCACCCAUCACCAGCACUCUCUUACUGAGAUCCUGCAAGACGAUGACACAUGAAAUCGGCCACAUGUUCGGGAUAAGGCAUUGCCAGUGGCUGAGCUGUGUGAUGCAGGGCUCCAACCACUUGGAGGAGUCAGACCGUCGGCCCCUGGAUCUCUGUCCCAUCUGCUUGCGCAAACUUCAGGUCUCAGUGGGCUUUAACAUUGCCGAGAGAUACAAGGCCUUAUUACAAUGGAUGGAAGAGGAGCCAAGAGCAACACAAGCGGAGGCCGCCUUUCCCAAACCUACUGAACCUUUUCGCACAGCCAAACUCUGGCUGCAGAGGUGCCAAGACAUAAUGCAAGUCAGUGAACGGCUUUGUCACAAAAUGCUGGAGGGAUUCACGCCGCUUCUUGCGUGCGGGAUGCUGCUUUUUGGCCUGUUUUUCCACCUGGUGUCUGAGCGGGCUGCUCAGGUUCAAAAGCCCGACAAGAAGCCCAACUUCAUUAUCAUCCUGGCUGAUGAUAUAGGAUGGGGUGACUUGGAUGUGAACAUGCCUGAACAGAGGGCCAACAAUACACCAAAUCUUGACCUGAUGGCCCAGCAAGGAUUGAGAUUCUCAGACUUCCACUCUCCGGCCUCAACCUGCUCCCCAUCCCGCGCUUCUAUCCUGACCGGACGCUACGGACUCAGAAAUGGGGUCACUCACAAUUUUGCCGUGGGCUCCGUGGGCGGUCUGCCUCUGUCUGAAGUCACCUUGCCACAACUCCUACAGCAGGCGGGUUACUAUACUGCCAUGAUCGGGAAAUGGCAUCUCGGCCAUAAUGGACCAUAUGGCCCAACAAAAAGAGGUUUUGACUACUACUUGGGUGUUCCUUACAGUAAUGAUAUGGGAUGCACUGACAUCCCUGGAUAUGAUCUUCCCCAGUGCCUCGCCUGUGGCUCAUCUGAACCUCAAAUAUUCAGAUUGAGGAGGAGCGCACACAAACACAGGAGCUGCUAUUCCAAAGUGGGCCUUCCUCUGAUUGAAAACAGCAGUAUUGCGGAGCAGCCACUCAACCUGUGGACACUUACACAACAGUACCAGUCUGCUGCGCUCAGAAUUAUGCACGAUGCGAGAGAGCGAGGACAGCCCUAUUUUCUUUACCUAGCGUUAGCGCACAUGCACGUACCCUUGGCCCCACCACUUACACCCACCACUGGCGCCACCCAUUCACCAUCUGACAGCCAAGUGUACGCUGCCAGCCUGCGAGAGUUGGAUCGCUUCGUGGGGUCGAUCAGGACUGUAUCACACACAGAGGACACGCUCAUCUGGUUCACUGGUGACAAUGGUCCUUGGGAGCAGAAGUGCCAGUAUGCAGGAAGUACAGGACCAUUCAAAGGAAAGUGGCAGACGAAAAGAGGUGGGAGUUCAGCUAAGACGACCACUUGGGAAGGGGGCCACCGGGUGCCAACCGUGGCCUACUGGCCUGGCGUGAUCCCGGCAAACUCCACCAGCUCUGCCCUGCUCAGGUGUCUUUGCUUCCUACAGCUUGGUAUGGACAUAUUCCCGACACUCCUUUCCCUGGCAGGGGUGACGCCACCCUCUGACCGGCGCUACGAUGGCAUUGACGCCACAAGUGUCCUCCUGCAUGGCGAACAGACUGGUCACAAGGUCCUCUUCCACCCUAACAGUGGCGCCGCUGGGCGAUUUGGUGACUUACAGGCGGUCCGAGCUGGGAAAUACAAAGCUUUCUACAUGACAGGUGCAGCUGAAGCAUGUGGCGGUGGAUCAGGAGCACAGGAACUCCACGAUCCACCAUUAUUAUUUGAUUUGGAGCAUGACGAGACUGAGGAAACACCCUUAAAUGUUUGGACACCUGAAUACCAAGCGACAGCUGAGAGGCUUGCUCUCUGGAGGGAGCGGUUAUUGUGGGACAUCGCCACCGACCAAUCCGUGUCUGCGGCCGACUACACAACAGACAGUUCGGCUGUGCCUUGCUGUGAACCCACACGGCCGGUUUGCCGUUGCCUCUCACUGCCCUGAUUGCAGGAAUCCUUAAAAGACAAGAACAAGGAAACAACAGAGUGCGCUUUGGGUGUGUGUUCAGAAGUUUGUUGAGACUGCUGUGCCGUUUGCAUGCACUCGCCUCCAUCCUGUGGAUCCACAUUAUAGAUGUAAAGAUACCCAUCCGAGGACGCCACCAGCAGGCGAGGCAGCUUCUGAAUCCUGUCGUCCAAAAUACCAAAAGCGGAUAUGAACAUUUCUAUAUGAUUUUUGUUUUAUCCCCUAGAAAUGUUGUUUUUCUUAUCUUACGUAGCCAGCGCGCAGAUGUUCUUCAGGCCGAACAUGUUGAGUCGCACGGUGGCGAAGGCUCGGUCCUGAUGCAUCAUGUCGGACACCUGAGCUGGCAAGUAAGUGCUGGCCGCUGUGAACAUUUUGCCCACGUAUGCAGACCAUGUGGGAGAUGCCUCCUCUUGACUAAAAAAGUGAAGUGUUUUUGUUAUUUAAGUAAUGUAAUGUCAUUUUUCAAAAAGUCAUCUGAGCGAAAGGCUUAUAGCCACAUCAAUCUGAGUUGAAAACCAAAUAUAUGGUGAUCCCCCGCGUAUUCGUGGGCCGGUAUUCACGGUUUUGCCUAUUUGUGGAUAUAUUUUUUUAACGUAUCCUCCAUUAUUCACUGAAAAACUCACCUAUUCUUAAUUUUGUACUCAUUGCAAUAACAGUAUUGCUUUGGCGUCAUCAGGUGGCAUCUUGGUGCCAAGGAAGCAAUUUGAAGUGAGUUGAGGAGCUUCAUUUAGACAAAAGUAGUUAUUUCCCGCUAUCUUCUGGGAACUAUAGGCAAAUUAUUUUAGUAGGGUUGCAAUUACUUACGGAUUUUCACUACCGUAAACCCCCACUGUAUCACAGUUCAGUUUUCGCAGUCCCGGUGUUUCACUUUUUGUGUGUGUUAUUACAGCUGUUACUCUAUUUUUUAUAAUGUUUGUAAAAUAUUUUUGUGUUAUCCAUUGCUCUUGCUCUCUCUAAAUAUAUUUGUAUUGUUUUAAAAGUGUAUUUAAGGAGCUAAAAAAAAAAAAUUAAGCACCACAGGGCUUGGUCCCUAGCCCCCAAGAAUAGUAAGGAUUUACUGUACUUUACAAACAGAUAUUGCAACAAAAGGUUUGCAAUAUUCUCUUGGAGUUGUGAUUUUGUGUUGUUGUUUUGUUUGUUUUUUUGUUUUGUUACCUGGGACUGUGCUGCUCCAGCUUGAAGAUAUGUACUGUCUCAGUGUUGCUGGAUGCACAUAGGAACUGGGCAUCGGCACUGAAGGACAGUGAACUAAUACUAACAUAUCUGAGAACAAGGAGAAAUUAUUUGACAUAAAAGAAAACAAUUGCACAACAUAAAACAAACAGUAUUAACAUAUUGAUCUUUUGGUUUGUCUCUAGAAUGCCCGGAUUGUACGCAAGUCCACUUCUAAUACUCCUGUUUUGUUCUGUAAAUGUGUGUUUGUCUAUAUGUAUCGCCUGGCAACCAGUCAGGUGUUCCUAACCUCUAGCCCCGCAACUCUAAGAACAAGUGCUAUGCAAAAUGGAUGGCUAUGCAAAUGGGUCCAAAUGUUUUCACUGUUUUUAGCUUGAAUCGCCACUACAAAUAUUUAUCAAUAGCCAAUAUAUUGGUUAUACCACUGUCAAUAUAUUGCUGUAUCCCAAGAAGAACUAUCACCAUCUAUCACAGUAUCGCUAUAGUGUCCCGCCCCUUUCCUCAACCAAUGGCUGCUAAAUGGCCGGCCUCGAGUACUUUCCCCAGCUGACCACUAAAUGUCAGCUGUUCGUCACGCUACCCUUUAUAUCCUUCACACUUCUACGACAGAACAUUUGCGCUGUGAAUUGCAUGAGGAGGAAGGGCCCACUCAAUGUGGUGUAUUUGACACCGGCCACAACAUUGGGGACGCCUGAACUUUUUUUUCUUUUUUUUUUUAUCAGACGUUUGUAUACUUUACAGAUUUUGUUUAUACAGUUUAUAUGGGCAGCAUGGUGCAAGAGUGGUUAGCACAUCUGCCUCACAGUUCUAAGGUUCUGGGUUUGAAUUUCAGUUCCAGGCUUUUCUACGUGGUGCUUGCAUUUCUCCCUGUGCUUGUUUUUGUCGACGUACUCUGGCUUCCUCCCACAUUCCAAAAACAUGUUAGGUUCAUAGUACAGAAAAUGGACAGGUGGAUGCAUGCAGAGAUUAAAUUCAGGCUAAAGACAGUAACCCAAAAAAAUCAAACACCUCAUUAUGAUGCAGUUCAGUUAUACUUUCCUGAAAAUAUGUCAUACUGUUCAUUUAAAACAAUUUUCAAUUUUUCCCAUCAUAGCUGACACUGGGUGACAGCCAAUCAUAGGGCACAUAGUAUAUCGACAAACAACCAUUCACGCUCACUUUCACACCAGUGGACAAUUUAGGGUCUUCAUGCAUGUUUUUGAACGUGGGAGGAAGCCGGAGUACUCGCUGAAAAGCCACGCAAGCAAGGGGGAGAACAUGCAAACUCUAUAACACGGUGCACCUAUAUUGUUGUAACAUGGGCCACUCGGUCUGGGGACGACAGAUGUCAUCGGUAAUUUAGUUAAUAAAGCCUUUUUAUAGAAAGAA